UUAGUUUUGGAAAUUUACGGAGAUCCGACCGUUGGAUGGUAAUGAAAUUUUAGGAGGUUAUCCUAGAGAUAUAUUGUGGACCUCUGGAAGUUAUGGAUUUAAAAUCUGAGUGGCAGAUCUUUCGGAUCGAACUACGUAGUGACGUAUUUUAUAUAAGUUAUAUAUUCUAUCGAUAUGAAUUCUGAGGUUGGAUUUGAUUACUAUUCUAGGCGGCGAUCGUCGUGACGCCUUGAUGUGUGGUGCUAGGGAGUUGUUGGACGAACUCCAGGUGAAUGGGCAGUUUUGUUUUCCGUAUAUAUAUAUACUUGACGUUUCCCAGAAAUUGAAUUGAAAUGAAAAUAUGUUUAAAAUGAAAUGCAUAUGAGUUAUGUGGAAAAACGGGAAGUGAAAUACCAUGCAUAGAAUUGAUAUGAAAAGUAUAUAGAAAUGUGAAUUGAAAUGCCAUGCAUGAAUUAAUAUAUGAUGCAUAUGUAUGAAUUGGUGCGGUGGACGCACAGGUAAGAAUUGAUUUAUGAUGCAUAUGUAUGAAUUGGUGCGGUGGACGCACAGGUAAGAAUUGAUUUAUGAUGCAUAUGUAUGAAAUGGUGCGGUGGACGCACAUGUGAGUAUUUAUUUCUGUUAUGAUGAUGUUGAUGUAUAUUGAGCUCAAAUCCUGCACCAUAGUUUAGUGCUUAUAGUAUUCACCGCAUCGCACGCUCGUCUUGGAUCCAAGUAGAUGCUAGUCGUACAGUCCACGCGGAGUGGGUACGACAGGCCAGUCGCGAGAGUGUUAGUGAGAUUCCGACUGGUGGGUGACCUUAGAUUAUGUGCACAGAUGAUUAUGAAAAGCACUAGAGCGUAACUUAUGUGCAGAAGGCCGUACAGGUCACGCGGAGUGACUCCGGCAGAGAGUGAGAGUGAUAGAUUUUGAGCUCUAGGUUCAACCGUACAGGGCUAUUAGAGGGCCUACGGUUGAUUACUUUCUUGCACCUGAUAUGAUUAUGUUGAUGCAUUCAUACCUUAUUACUGUUGAGAUGAUGUGGCAUGGCAUAAUUAAUAUGAGAAAUGUUGAGAUGAUGUGGCAUGACAUAAUUGUUAUGAAAAUGUUGAGUUAACGACUUGAAGUUUUGAGAAUAUAUAUGUAUAUUUAUAUUUUACAUUUCUGGGAAAGUAUACAGGUUUUACGGAGAGGGGUUACAAUGCUUUGAGAAAAAAUUGGAUUUGAAAAGAAUUGUUUUACUGACCCACUCAAUUUUGGUUUUGCGCCCCUCCAGGUUCAGGAAUCACAAAGGUGUGGUGACUACGAGGAAUUCGACGGUGUUCUGACAGAUUGGACAAAAUUAGGACUCACCUUCGGGUGUAUCAACUUAUAAAUUGUAUCUUAAAGCUUCCGUGCUGUGCAAAUGGUUACGUCACUCUCACGUGACGGCCAGCAUGCCCUCCUUCGGGACGGGGUGUGUCAGUUGGUAUCAGAGUAUGGUUGCAAUCUUGGACAUCUUGAGAAGUUUAUAGUGAAUUCUGUCAGAACUACACCGCCUCGUAGCAAGCCACUUAGUUAGAGGAAUUUAGUCUCCCUAAUAUAGCGGUUUAGGGGAAACUAUUAUUAUGGUGAUUCAGUCUAUUAUAAAAAGGGACAUUUUAAGACGGAUUAUGAGUCGAAUUUGAAUCACCUUAUGAAAUAAUGAACCAGAGGGAACGAAGUGACGGUUUAACCGUUUGGAAAAGAUGUUUCAGAUUAUGCAAGUUAAAGGAAAUUUCCUUCUGACAAGGGGUCGAGACGACUACCUGGUUUUGGGUAUGAAUUUGUAUCCUGGUGGAAACAGGAUUGUUAAUUGUUGUCACCGGAGGAAACAGCUGAUUGAGAAUUAUUUAAGGACUUGUUUAAGGAAAAGUUUAUCCCCCGGCAUUUAUCGAUGGUAGUAAACAAGAGUUUACAAAUAUGAGACAAGGAAGGUGAUGAUCGAGGGAUAUUAUAGAAAGUUUUCAGACUUGCCUCGUUCCAUCCAGAUAUUGUUGUUAAUUUGGUGGAGGUGUUAUGUUGUUUUAGGCUGGGUGACAAAAAGGGAAGUGGUAUUUUGGGUGACCACUAUCCAUUGUACUUCUUACCAGGAAUAUACGAGAUGCUGUUGAGUCUUGAGGACUCUGAGAACAUGAGCAACGAGAAUAAAGAAGAAUAAGAAAUGAAUGGGAAUCAAAAGAAGACGAUAAAGUUAAUGAUUCGUCAUAUCAAGGAUAUAGAAAGAUUCAGAGCUUCGAAAGAAGUGAAGCUAGAGUUAAUUCUUCCAGCUGAGGUUUUAACGCCACUAGUCAGAGGCGAAGUGAUGGAUAUACUGGUAAUCCCAGAUUUUUGAGACAAGGUGUCUCGAGUACAGGAAAUGUACCUUGUGCAGCAGGUACAAAAUUAACACUUUGGGAAGUGUGAAAUUAAUGAAUGUGUUUAUGUGAACAGAGGGGACACAGAAUUGUGAAUCGUCCCUAAAAUCAGUUGUACCCAACAGUUUUCUAUGACAUCGUAGUAUCGAUUCAGCAGGUUUAUGGAUUUAGUAGUUUGGUCGGAUUGACCGUGGGUACAGAGAGAUUUGAUGAGUUAUAUGUUCAGCCAUACAGGCCACGAGAGGUGGAUCUGGCUGACGCAUGAGAAAUUGGUGAGUUAUAGGCUCGGCCGUACCGACCACGUGGAGUGGAUCCGGCCGACGUAUUAUUGAGAUAAGAGUUGAAUCAGCCGUAUUGGUCAUUCUAGUUGACUUCGGCUGAUAUAUUUCUUAUUAUGUAUGUUAUUACCUAGAGAGUAGUAAAUAAAUGUAGUUGAGACGAGUGUAUGUAUUUUGCAUUGAGUGACAAAAUAGUAAUGUUAUAUCUUUGAGAGUGGUUGCCUACUUAUCGAGACAACGAUGAUUUAUCAGUAUUGCGGGCUGCAGACCGUAAUAUUAAUAACUCAUUCGUGGAUUCGUUAAGCAAGCAACCCGGUAGAUUAUUUUAUGUUAGUAUUGUACUUAUUUAGAAUGCUUAAUAAUGAUAGAAUAUAUAUUGUAUCAGUUAAUUUUGUUCCAUUAGAUUGGUUGGUUAUAAUUGUGACAAGACGGAAUGUUACGGGAAACCAGUAUUUUCCAUCGAUCUGGAUGACCAGGGAUUUCUUUUGUAAGUAUGCAAAGUGGAUUGAGUCAGGCCGUUAUUUAUGCUGUGAAAGCAAAGAGAUUGUUUUGAAAGGCUGCCCAAAAAAAAAAUACUUAGUUCAUGUGGUACUAAAGGAUGUUGCUCGGAGAAGUGUGAAAAAUGAAAAAGGGGUUAGACUUUUCUUGAUGUCUUCCCUGAAGUAUACCUGGAUUGUCUUCAGGCAUAGAUAUGAGGUUCAUUAUUGAUUUGUUACCAGGUAUAAAUUUAUAUUGGAGAUUGGUUCAGGAUGAGUUAAGGGAAUUGGAAAUUCAGUUGAGAGAAUUGGUUGAUAAAAGUUUUAUUCAACCUAGUACAACACUUUUGAGGAGCCCCAGUUUGUUGGUGAAAAAGAAAAUGGACUUAGAGAUUGUGCAUUGAUUAUAGACAAUGGAAUUGGUAACGAUCGAGAACCGUUAUCCAUGGUGCGUUGAUGUUUGUUUGACCAGCUCAAAGGUAUUUGUGUAUUUUCAAAAGAUUGAUUGAGGUCUGGUUAUUACCAAUUGAAGAUUUUGAGCGACAUUGAUCAUAAGAUAGUUUUCUGGACUUGUUAUAGUCUUUAUGAAGUUUGGUGAUGCUAUAUGGAUACUCAUGCUGUUUUAUGAGUUGAUGGAUGAAGUAUUCCAAUAAUGCUUUGAUAAUUGAUAUCAUUUUCGUUGAAGAUAUUCUGGCAUAUUAUGAGCCAGAGCAGAGCAUGUAAACGUAUUAAGUCGGUGGAACAAAGAUUGGAAGAAUGUCGAUUGUAUGCUAAGUUUAGCAAAUGCGAAAGUUAGAUGAAUCAGGUGGCAUUCUGAGAUUGGUUAUAUCUGCUUAAGGUAUUCAAAUGAAUUCUUAAAAGGCAGCAGAAUUGAGAAAUUGGAACAACCACAAGCCAUAAUUGAGAUUCGGAAAUUCUUAACUUAUCAGGCUAUUUUGGAUGGUUGUGAAAGAAUUUUUAGUCAUUGCUUUGUCAUUGACAAGACUGUUGAGAAAGGAGGUUAUGUAUGAGUGGGAAGGAAAUUGUGAGCAAAGGAUUCAACAACUGGAGUAUUUCCUCACUCAUGCACGUAUUUUAGUAAUCCCAGAAGAUAGCGGUAAUUAUUGGUUUAUGGUGAUGGUACAUUAAAUAUUCUUGGAGAUGUAUUGAUGCAAAUGUUAGGGUGAUUGAAUAUGUUUCACGACAAAUGGAACCUAAUGAGAUGAAUUACCCUACUGGUGACUUGGAAGUCACGAUUAUCAUCCUUGCUGUGAAGUUGUGGAGACAUUAUAUGUUGAAAAGAAUGCAAGAUUUUACAAAUCAAAAGAGUCUCCAAUAUUUGUUUAUUCGGAAGGAUUUUGAUAUGAGGCAACAAAGGUGAAUUGUAUUACUUAAUGAACAUGAUGGUACGAUCAGGGUGAUCGUGAAUUGUUGUAGCUGAAGCACUUGGUGAGAAGACUACAGUAUGAUUAAUGUCUGGCACGUUUGCCAAGAGUAUCAUCUUGUGAAUUGAAAACCAACGGAAGAAAAAUUAAGAAUGGAAGAUCGAGAAGAAGUUAUACUUGUUAAAUUUCAAGUUAGGCCUGUUUGGUAAGGUCGUACUCGAAACUUAAAUGCUUGACGAAGAAAUUUAAGAAUUAACCAAGGUAGAGAAAGAAGGUAAGUUAAAUCCUAAGUGAAUCGGACUUAAGUGAUUAUCGAAAAGUUGGUGAAGUUGCUUACAAGCUUGUGAUGCCCUCAGAAUUAAAACAGGGUAAGUGGUAAAAGUUUUGUGAAGAAAUUAUUCGGUGGAAGAAAUUACGUGGGAGAAAGAGAAUCGGAUGAGAGAGAUUUACCCGAGGCUAUUGUAUGAGUAUGGUUGAUUUAGUUGGUUGCUGGAAUUUCGGGGACGAAAUUCUAUAAGGAGGGAAGAUUGUCACAGCCCGUCCCGGGAUUUUUCAUUCCGAGGACGUGAAAUUUCAAAAAUGACCUUAAACGAGAUUAAGGUGUGUAAAGAGAUGACAUUUGUUUUAUUUAAAGUUCCUGAACUAUGGUUAAUUUGUGUUAGGGACUAAAACUAGGUUGUAAUGUUGUGUUUGGGUUAAGGUGGGAUCCUCAUACCUCAAAACACUCCCUAAAACCCGUAACCUUUCCUUCUCUCUCUUCUUCUUCCAUUUCAGAUCUCUCUCUCUCCCACCCUCUCGAACACACGGCAACCACCAAGACCACCACAAAAACACCCUAAACUUCCACCAACGACGGAUUUAAGAGUGCCAUCGUACUCCUGAAGACCAUACGAUCACGAUGAUACCCAUUUCAAGUAAGUUUCACUUCGAAAACCCUAGUUUCUAAAGUUGCCGUGAAUGUGUACUGUUCAUGAGCUUUGAAUUGGUCGUGUUUUAGGCCAAACCAAGCUCAUAGUGAGCUUUAGGAAGUCCCAAGGAAGCUCGGAGUGCUUCGUUGGAAGUUUUUGGACGUAAGAACACGGAGAUCGACAAGUUCAAAGUUUGGCCGGAGCUUUCGAGGCUUUUUCCGACAAAUCCCCGGCGAGUUAGGAGUCGAGGUAGGUAUCAAUCUCUUCGUCUCGUCAAGUACUACAACUUUCCUUUUUGUUUCACUCAAUUUCGUUGAGUAUUGAAGAAGUUAUACUCAUUUGAAAAAUACUCAGUUUCCGGCGACCUCCGAGGCUUUCGAGGCAGUUUCCGGCCAAACCACGGCGAACUAGGUGUUGUGCAAGGUACCAUUCUCUUUGUCUCUUCAAGGGAUACAACUCUCGUUUUUGAAUCACUUGAUUUCGUUGAGAAAUGACAAAGUUAUGGCAAUUUGAAAAACUGCCCGGAAAACGGCCGCCGGAAAAACCAGUCCGGCGACCCAAGGAAGAAGAAGGUGCUACAGUAAAAAAAAUAAAAAUAAAAUUAUUUUAAAAAUAUGUCGACGUCCGUGACGUCGAGUAGAUCACCGUGGUAUAUUCAUAUACCCAAAUUGAGCACCGUAUGAGAAAGUUAUUAAGGAUUGUUGGUUAGGUGUUCGAAUAACGUUUUAUAGUUUUCACAUUUAGGUAAAAAUGUGAAUUGACGAUCCGACCGUUGGAUCGUUACCAAACUUUGAUACGUUGUAAUACGUAAUAUUUGAGGAUUAUUGGAACUUACGGAUUGGGAAUCCGAGUUACGGAUCUUCCGGAAUUGGAAUUGUAAGUCCAUAAUAUAAAAUGUUAACCGUCACUUAGUUUUGGAAAUUUACGGAGAUCCGACCGUUGGAUGGUAAUGAAAUUUUAGGAGGUUAUCCUAGAGAUAUAUAUUGUGGACCUCUGGAAGUUAUGGAUUUAAAAUCUGAGUGGCAGAUCUUUCGGAUCGAACUACGUAGUGACGUAUUUUAUAUAAGUUAUAUAUUUCUAUCGAUAUGAAUUCUGAGGUUGGAUUUGAUUACUAUUCUAGGCGGCGAUCGUCGUGACGCCUUGAUGUGUGGUGCUAGGGAGUUGUUGGACGAACUCCAGGUGAAUGGGCAGUUUUGUUUUCCGUAUAUAUAUAUACUUGACGUUUCCCAGAAAUUGAAUUGAAAUGAAAAUAUGUUUAAAAUGAAAUGCAUAUGAGUUAUGUGGAAAAAACGGGAAGUGAAAUACCAUGCAUAGAAUUGAUAUGAAAAGUAUAUAGAAAUGUGAAUUGAAAUGCCAUGCAUGAAUUAAUAUAUGAUGCAUAUGUAUGAAUUGGUGCGGUGGACGCACAGGUAAGAAUUGAUUUAUGAUGCAUAUGUAUGAAUUGGUGCGGUGGACGCACAGGUAAGAAUUGAUUUAUGAUGCAUAUGUAUGAAAUGGUGCGGUGGACGCACAUGUGAGUAUUUAUUUCUGUUAUGAUGAUGUUGAUGUAUAUUGAGCUCAAAUCCUGCACCAUAGUUUAGUGCUUAUAGUAUUCACCGCAUCGCACGCUCGUCUUGGAUCCAAGUAGAUGCUAGUCGUACAGUCCACGCGGAGUGGGUACGACAGGCCAGUCGCGAGAGAGUGUUAGUGAGAUUCCGACUGGUGGGUGACCUUAGAUUAUGUGCACAGAUGAUUAUGAAAAGCACUAGAGCGUAACUUAUGUGCAGAAGGCCGUACAGGUCACGCGGAGUGACUCUGGCAGAGAGUGAGAGUGAUAGAUUUUGAGCUCUAGGUUCAACCGUACAGGGCUAUUAGAGGGCCUACGGUUGAUUACUUUCUUGCACCUGAUAUGAUUAUGUUGAUGCAUUCAUACCUUAUUACUGUUGAGAUGAUGUGGCAUGGCAUAAUUAAUAUGAGAAAUGUUGAGAUGAUGUGGCAUGACAUAAUUGUUAUGAAAAUGUUGAGUUAACGACUUGAAGUUUUGAGAAUAUAUAUGUAUAUUUAUAUUUUACAUUUCUGGGAAAGUAUACAGGUUUUACGGAGAGGGGUUACAAUGCUUUGAGAAAAAAUUGGAUUUGAAAAGAAUUGUUUUACUGACCCACUCAAUUUUGGUUUUGCGCCC
This 7539-nucleotide long non-coding RNA is filed under the name Malus domestica (apple). Its description in RNAcentral is "long non-coding RNA (MDOM_LNC009584)". The record is from RNAcentral. Lineage: Eukaryota; Viridiplantae; Streptophyta; Magnoliopsida; Rosales; Rosaceae.